AAUAUUGCACAAUGGGCGCAAGCCUGAUGCAGCCAUGCCGCGUGUAUGAAGAAGGCCUUCGGGUUGUAAAGUACUUUCAGCAGUGAGGAAGGUGGAUAUGUUAAUAGCAUAUUCAUUUGACGUUAGCUGCAGAAGAAGCACCGGCUAACUCCGUGCCAGCAGCCGCGGUAAUACGGAGGGUGCGAGCGUUAAUCGGAAUUACUGGGCGUAAAAGCGCAUGCAGGUGGUUUGUUAAGUCAGAUGUGAAAGCCCGGGGCUCAACCUCGGAAUUGCAUUUGAAACUGGCAAACUAGAGUACUGUAGAGGGGGUAGAAUUUCAGGUGUAGCGGUGAAAAUGCGUAGAGAUCUGAAGGAAUACCGGUGGCGAAGGCGGCCCCCUGGACAGAUACUGACACUCAGAUGCGAAAGCGUGGGGAGCAAACAGGAUUAGAUACCCUGGUAG
Molecule: ribosomal RNA, 442 nt
Filed under: uncultured bacterium
Lineage: Bacteria
Description: bacterial SSU rRNA
Rfam family: Bacterial small subunit ribosomal RNA
Source: RNAcentral